UUUCAAAUAAGUCUAUGUUAUUGUUCCAUCCAACUCUUAUACAAUCGACAAACUCCUAACUUAAUUACUUAGUCAUUGAACGUUGGGCGGUAAAAUUAACAUCACGAGGACACAACUAAGAUAAUGGGCUUCAAAGUUUUCUAUCAAUUUUGAGUUUAAAUAUUGGAUCUAUAUAAAAAAACUCUUCUCCACACUAAUGCAAAAAAAAAAAAAACCAGGGACAAAUUUAUUACUCCCUCCAUCCACUAAUUCAAUACCUUCUUUCCUUUUUGG
Molecule: long non-coding RNA, 273 nt
Filed under: Salvia miltiorrhiza (redroot sage)
Lineage: Eukaryota; Viridiplantae; Streptophyta; Magnoliopsida; Lamiales; Lamiaceae
Description: long non-coding RNA (SMIL_LNC001778)
Source: RNAcentral